CACCUCUAGCAUUACAAGUAUUAGAGGCAUUGCCUGCCCAGUGACUAUAGUUAAACGGCCGCGGUAUCCUGACCGUGCAAAGGUAGCAUAAUCAUUUGUUCCUUAAUUAGGGACUAGUAUGAAUGGCUAGACGAGGGAUCAACUGUCUCUUAUUUUCAAUCAGUGAAAUUGACCUUCCAGUGAAGAGGCUGGAAUACAAUAAUAAGACGAGAAGACCCUAUGGAGCUUAAAUUAACAAGCUUAAUUAUUACCUAAAUACCCUAAUGGAACAAAACAAAAAAUAUAAGCUUAAAAUUUUGGUUGGGGUGACCUCGGAGAACAAAAAAUCCUCCGAAAGAUAUAUAACAUAGACCUACAAGUCAAAGUAACUCAGUUAUCUUAUUGACCCAAAAAUUGAUCAACGGACCAAGUUACCCUAGGGAUAACAGCGCAAUCCUAUUUAAGAGUCCAUAUCGACAAUAGGGUUUACGACCUCGAUGUUGGAUCAGGACAUCCCAAUGGUGCAGAAGCUAUUAAUGGUUCGUUUGUUCAACGAUUAAAGU
RNAcentral lists this ribosomal RNA (542 nucleotides) under Hylomyscus pamfi. RNAcentral describes it as "partial 16S ribosomal RNA". It matches the Rfam family "Bacterial large subunit ribosomal RNA", at positions 1816 to 2594 of the family's 2925-position model. Lineage: Eukaryota; Metazoa; Chordata; Mammalia; Rodentia; Muridae. The record is from RNAcentral.